Long non-coding RNA from Rhinopithecus bieti (black snub-nosed monkey), 1906 nucleotides. NCBI's taxonomy places the organism in Eukaryota, Metazoa, Chordata, Mammalia, Primates, Cercopithecidae. The record is from Ensembl.
CUCCCUGGACGGGGCAUACCAAUGGGGUGAGGGCGGAGCCACAGGGCACUCACACAGACCUCCCCGCAGUGCGAGGGGCCUCCUGCGCCUGGCCGAUGCCCUGGCCUUCCGUCAGGACCUGGAGGUGGUCAGCUCCACCGUCCGUGCCGUCGUCGCCACCCUGAGGUCUGGGGAGCAGUGCAGUGUGGAGCCUGAGCUGAUCAGCAAAGUCCUCCAGGGGCUGAUGGAGGUGAGGUCCCCUACCUGGAGGAGCUGCUGACUGUGCUCUUCUCUGCCACUGCGGACGCCGCCUCCCCGUUUCCGGGCUGUAAGCCCGUGGUGGUGGUGAGCUCCCUGCUGCUGCAGGAGGAGGAGCCCCUGGCUGCGGGGAAGCCGGAUGCGGAUGGCGGCAGGUGAGCUGGGGUGUGCACACGGCCGGGGCGGGCGGGCAGGCAGCACCAGCUCCUCCCUGAGCCACCUUCUCCCCGCAGCCUGGAGGCCGUGCGGCUGGGGCCCUCGUCAGGCCUCCUGGUGGACUGGCUGGAGAUGCUGGACCCCGAGGUGGUCAGCAGCUGCCCCGACCUGCAGCACAGGCUGCUCUUCUCCCGGAGGAAGGGCAAAGGUCAGGCCCAGGUGCCCUCGUUCCGCCCCUACCUCCUGACCCUCUUCACGCAUCAGUCCAGCUGGCCCACGCUGCACCAGUGCAUCCGAGUCCUGCUGAGCAAGAGCCGGGAGCAGAGGUUCGACCCCUCCGCCUCUCUGGACUUCCUCUGGGCCUGCAUCCACGUUCCUCGCAUCUGGCAGGGGCGAGACCAGCGCACCCCGCAGAAGCGGCGGGAGGAGCUAGUGCUGCGGGUGCAGGGCCCAGAGCUCAUCAGCCUGGUGGAGCUGAUCCUGGCCGAGGCAGAGACGCGGAGCCAGGACGGGGACACGGCCGCCUGCAGCCUCAUCCAGGCCCGGCUGCCCCUGCUGCUCAGCUGCUGCCGUGGGGACGAUGAGAGCGUCAGGAAGGUGACAGAGCACCUGUCAGGCUGCAUCCAGCAGUGGGGAGACAGUGUGCUGGGCAGGCGCUGCCGAGACCUCCUCCUGCAGCUCUAUCUACAGCGGCCAGAGCUGCGGGUGCCCGUGCCUGAGGUCCUGCUGCACAGUGAAGGAGCUACCAGCAGCAGCAUCUGCAAGGUGAGGGCACCACUCUGCUGCUCCUUGUGCCAUCCCAGGUGCCCUGGCCGGGCAGGGAGGGAGGGCGGAGGCUCCAGUUUCUGUGGGCCAUCACCGGCUUCACCUCUUGUCCCUUCCCGGUCCGUGCUGCCGGGUGGCCCCGUGGGUUUGUCUGCACUGAGUCUUAAACCAAGGGGACCUGCAGGCGCUUUGCUCGCGGGGCGCCAUCCAGCAGAGUCUGCAGAGUCGUGGUGUCAUGGGCGCUGAGCGGCCUGCCAUUGUGUGGAUCGACCGUUGGUUUAUCUGUUCACCUGCUGGUGGACGUGGAGUCACGUUCAGUUUGGGGCAGUGACAGCUGCUGGGGACUCGUGCAUGGGUCUUGGUGGACGGCUGCGUCUGCUCCUCUUCAGUGACCCUGGGGGCGGGGCUGGGCCUCUCGUGCCCGCUUCCCCGCCGCUGGCUGGGACCUGCAGCCUGUCUUCUGCUGGUACCACAGAGGGCAGCUGACUUUUUCUAAUCAUUUCUGCUUGUGAUUUUUUUCACUUAUAAGUUGUUUCAUACAUUGAAAUCAUACUUGAUGUGCAGUUUUGCGGGGAGUUUUUGAGGCAGGGUGUCUGUUGCCGAGGCUGGAGUGCGGCGGCACUAUCAUAGCUCACUACAGCCUCAACCUCCCGUGCUCAAGUGAUCCUCCCACCUCAGCCUCCCGAGUAGCUGGGACCACAGGCAUGUGCCACCACACCCAGUUAAUUUUUUUUUUUUUGAGACGGGA